GGGCACAUGGUGUAGUUGGUUAUCACGCUCGCUUAGCAUGUACUUCUAAUCUGCGAGAGGUGUUGGGUUCAAUUCCCAAUGUGUCCA
This is a non-coding RNA of Flammula alnicola, 87 nucleotides long. NCBI's taxonomy places the organism in Eukaryota, Fungi, Basidiomycota, Agaricomycetes, Agaricales, Strophariaceae. The record is from the annotation of a GenBank genome assembly.